This is a long non-coding RNA of Ictalurus punctatus (channel catfish), 688 nucleotides long. RefSeq lists it as uncharacterized. NCBI's taxonomy places the organism in Eukaryota, Metazoa, Chordata, Actinopteri, Siluriformes, Ictaluridae. The record is from RefSeq and is a predicted model, not a curated record. The transcript has 3 exons.
UACAGGAGCAGGAGGAACUAACUGAACUGAAACAAGAUCGUGGUUUAAAGCUAAGAUUUGCUGAACUUCCUUUGGACAGUUUUUGGUUGACUGCUGCCAAGGAAUUCCCCAUUCUGGCCAACAAAGUUUUGACAUUGCUCCCAUUUUCCACAACAUAUGUGUGUGAGCUGAGCUUUUCAAGCCUAACUGCUAUAAAAACUAAAAACAGAGAGAGACUGAAAGCUGGUGAAGAAGAGCUUUGUGUAUGCCUUUCUUCAAUUCCUGUCAGGAUAUCGGCUUUGUGUUCAUCUAAACAGGCCCAGGUUUCACACUGAGAAGCUGCCUUAAUCACGAUGUACCCAGGCUACGCAGGCAGGACCGAGUUCCGGGACAACCUGGAGGCCGCUUCAGAUCCGUCUCCAUGAUUGUGCCCGACCACGCCGUCAUCGCAGAGGUGGACUUGUGAGCUGAGGGCUUCAAGUCCAGUGAGACUCUGGCGAAGAAGAUGAUUCAGCUGUAUAAGCUGUGCAGCAAGCAGCUUUCCCGGCAGGACCACUACGACUUCAGCAUGAGAGUCGUCAACUCUGUUAUCGUCAUGGCCGGGUAUGUCCGUCUACGAACAGGGUGAACAUAUUAGAUUAGAUUAGAUUCAUCCGUUGUUUUUUCUAAAUUGUUAAUUAAAACUAUCUAUAAAUGUAACAGAUGUCUU